RNAcentral lists this ribosomal RNA (326 nucleotides) under uncultured eukaryote. Its description in RNAcentral is "partial 18S ribosomal RNA". It matches the Rfam family "Eukaryotic small subunit ribosomal RNA", at positions 1470 to 1796 of the family's 1831-position model. The record is from RNAcentral.
CCCUUAGAUGUUCUGGGAUGCACGCGCGUUACACUGAUUCGUUCAACGAGUUUAUGACCUUGCCUGAUGAGGUGGGGGAAUCUUUUCAAAUCGCAUCGUGAUGGGGAUAGAGUAUUGUAACUGUUAGUCUUCAACGAGGAAUUCCUAGUAAGUACGUGUCAUCAGCUCGUACUGAUUAUGUCCCUGCCCUUUGUACACACCGCCCGUCGCUCCUACCGAUUGAGUGCUCAGGUGAAUAGUAUGGACUGCAUCAGUGUUCGGUCUCCGAAUGUUGAAGCGAGAAAUUCUGUGAAUCUUAUUGCUUAGAGGAAGGAGAAGUCGUAACA